UCAUGGAGCGGCCGAUGGCAGAUUAUGUAGUUGGUGGGAUAAAAGCUUACCAAGCCGACAAUCUGUAGCUGGUCUGAGAGGACGACCAGCCACACUGGGACUGAGACACGGCCCACACUCCUACGGGAGGCAGCAGUGGGGAAUUUUGGACAAUGGGGGAAAGCCUGAUCCAGCCAUGCCGCGUGCAGGAUGAAAGCCUUCGGGUUGUAAACUGCUUUUGUACGGAACGAAAAGGU
This 236-nucleotide ribosomal RNA is filed under the name uncultured bacterium. RNAcentral's name for it is "partial 16S ribosomal RNA". It matches the Rfam family "Bacterial small subunit ribosomal RNA", at positions 219 to 454 of the family's 1533-position model. The record is from RNAcentral.